CAACAGCUCGCGUCCCUUCAAUUUGCUUUACGCUGGCAGCGCCGAGCAAUGCCGGCGGCUCAUUGAAAUUCAUAAAAUAUUUGCACAGCGAAAUGGGCCACGAUGAGUACAGGCUACAGGCACUGUAUUAUGUGUCAAGCACGUUUGAAUUUAAAUUCAAAUAUUUGCCAUAGAAGGCAAACAAAUAAGCAGAAAUAUGGUAAACAGCAAUAAGCGACAAAGGCAAUGGCAGCAUCAACAGCAAUGGCAAUCGAAAUGGCAAAUGCGAACAGAAGAAAUAAUGCGACAGCAUGCAGUAAGCCAACUGCAUAUGGCCAGAUACAAUACACUAGGAAUAUCGGAGAAUACCCAUAAAUGCGACUUCUCUCGGAUCGAAAUGACAAAUGGCCAGUUCCAUUGAUGGAUGGCUAUGUCAGUCAGAGGCCACAAGUGAAGAACCGACAACUGGCAAUGGCUAACACGGCUAAUCCUGUCUGCGUAAAUUGUGAUACUUGUACUGCAUAAUAAGUUGACCGCCAGUACAGACAAAGACCAGGCCAUGGCCAAGGUUCACAUUUAGGAAAGUAGACACAAAACAAGGCACAAGUUUUGUACUCGACAAUUACAGUUUCCAAGGCUAAGCAAGAGUCAAGUGCGACCGACUAAGUGAUACCCUAAACAUGAGAGAUUUGCUAAAAGAAAUAUCAUCGAUAUACUUGUUUAACAAAAAAUAUUUCAAAUUUCUUAAAAUUUCCAAGGCUGAUGUGUUCAUUCAGAUGGACAGCACGUCAUGACUAGAAAAGAGAAAUGAACAUAUAUUUUUGCUUGAUCAGCAUCAACAGCCGAGUUCAUAUAGCCUAGUCUGCACUUACGUCUGUUUCAAUAUAAAAUUGUUCGUCAAUUUUAAAGGCAACAUUAUGAAACUGUGCAAACGUUCGCCUCUUCUUGUAAGAAAAUCAUUUGUGGUUCUCAAGAUAUCUUGCCUAACAGCGAUGUUUUUCGUUUGACUAUGUUCGUAUAUAAAAACCUUUUUUGCUUUCCAAGAUAUGUUAAUUAAGCUUGGUAUUUGGAGUUAUUAUAGAGAAAACAGUUCUUAAACAAA
This is a non-coding RNA of Drosophila virilis, 1081 nucleotides long. Lineage: Eukaryota; Metazoa; Arthropoda; Insecta; Diptera; Drosophilidae. The record is from RefSeq and is a predicted model, not a curated record.